This 1125-nucleotide long non-coding RNA is filed under the name Triticum aestivum (bread wheat). RNAcentral describes it as "long non-coding RNA (TAES_LNC007161)". The record is from RNAcentral. Lineage: Eukaryota; Viridiplantae; Streptophyta; Magnoliopsida; Poales; Poaceae.
CUGCAGGUAUUGAGGGCUAUUUGUGUUUCAUCCUGCAUAGGUCUCUUCUUGCUCGCGUUAAAACAAGUUUCCCAUCUCUGAAAUUUAUUGUUUGAAUUGGAUUAACACAUGAUAUGUGCCUAUAUUUGUUUCAGUACGUAUAGGACAGCAAUGGCAUAUCAUUCCUACCAUUCCAUGCAAUCUAUUGGCUCGAACAAAUCAUCUAAUACUCAGGAGUCAGGACCACAACUUACUACUCUUUUUACAUAUGCCAGUCAUGAUCACUACUUAAGAUUAAAGAAAGGCUUGGAUGACUUUAGGUUGGCAUAUACAGUAUAUGUGAGUCAACUACUUUUUCCCUUAUUCUUCUAUUCUAUACAGGGUGGAGGUACCAGAGUUAUGCACAUAGAAAUCAGCCCCAUCCGCUUGCUACAGAGUUAUCUGGUGGUAUCUCGAUCAUUCCACACGAGAUAAGCCCUGCCGCCAUCUUUGCUCACCUGAUUCGGAGCAGCAAUUUACUGCAGCUAGCGCAUGUAAUCAUGCCCACAUCCGGGUGAGUAUCCAGUGGUUUCCUUCUGCGCACUGUUAUGCAUUAACGCAAUUUCAGUUCUUUAAUGGAUCCUGAUGAUGUCAUUCAGGUGAUUAUUUAUUGUGUAGAUGCACCCUAUUUUCUGACUUCCUGAGUUAUGGUGGAGCUUAGCUUUUAUGUGAGAUCGAAGGGAAUUCACUUCAGUGAUGGAUGAAAAAAUCAUUUGUGAGAGUUGGGUGUUUUAUGUAUUGUUAAUUGUUAAAGGAGAUUGAAAUUCCUGGCUUGGCGUUGGUGGUCAUAGUCUACGGCUCUCAAUUUUGUCCUCCUUCACAGAUUUAGUCCUUUACUAGCUUUCAGUGCUUCACUUUUGCCAUUGAAAAUGUAACCUUCAGGGAUUUUCAGAGAGCAACAUUCAGUGGUUCAUAUACAGGUCUGAUAGGUAUUGUGGCAUUCCAGUCCUUGGCCGUGGAGUUCAUUCUUGCAUAUGUAUUUUUUUAGUUCAUUCUUACAUAUGUAUUGUAUUCUUAGCAGCAAUAUUUUUUGAUGAUAUGUCCGACAUCAUCUAAUCUUUUGUGAACACUUGCUAGAGUAUAUGAUACAAUGAGAGUAUCUUAUUU